Molecule: ribosomal RNA, 251 nt
Filed under: Bacillus amyloliquefaciens
Lineage: Bacteria; Bacillati; Bacillota; Bacilli; Caryophanales; Bacillaceae
Description: partial 23S ribosomal RNA
Rfam family: Bacterial large subunit ribosomal RNA
Source: RNAcentral
GCGGGGAUGAGGUGUGGGUAGGGGUGAAAUGCCAAUCGAACCUGGAGAUAGCUGGUUCUCUCCGAAAUAGCUUUAGGGCUAGCCUCAAGGUAAGAGUCUCGGAGGUAGAGCACUGAUUGGACUAGGGCCCUACCGGGUUACCGAAUUCAGUCAAACUCCGAAUGCCGAUGACUUAUCCUUGGGAGUCAGACUGCGAGUGAUAAGAUCCGUAGUCGAAAGGGAAACAGCCCAGACCGCCAGCUAAGGUCCCA